UACGGAGGGUGCGAGCGUUGUCCGGAAUCAUUGGGCGUAAAGGGUGCGUAGGCGGUCGUGCAAGUCGGAUGUGAAAUCUCAGGGCUCAACCCUGAAACUGCAUUCGAUACUGCGUGGCUAGAGUGCUGGAGAGGAGACUGGAAUUUACGGUGUAGCAGUGAAAUGCGUAGAUAUCGUAAGGAAGACCAGUGGCGAAGGCGAGUCUCUGGACAGCAACUGACGCUGAGGCACGAAGGCCAGGGGAGCAAACGGG
Molecule: ribosomal RNA, 253 nt
Filed under: uncultured bacterium
Lineage: Bacteria
Description: partial 16S ribosomal RNA
Rfam family: Bacterial small subunit ribosomal RNA
Source: RNAcentral